RNAcentral lists this non-coding RNA (31 nucleotides) under Mus musculus (house mouse). The record is from RNAcentral. Lineage: Eukaryota; Metazoa; Chordata; Mammalia; Rodentia; Muridae.
UGACUGGUACCACUUUUGUGUUGUUUUGUGA